AAUCGUCUUUCGUAUUCGAGUCAAGAUAGAGUAUACAUCGUAUAAAAAUUUACUGAACGUUAUAAUUUGUUAAUUUACCAAGCAUUACUUGGUAAUGAGUACUAGGUGGAGAAUUAAAUUUGAUUAGAAACUUGAUCUGCAAAAUUUCUGUAAAAAGAGAUUUAGCGAAAGAUGGAUGGGAUUAUUGAGGAAAAUAUUAGCGUCCGCCACGUGUUAAUUAUGUGAGAGUAUCCGGUGUGUUCAUAUGGCUGUAUAUGGUAGUGAAAUACAGAAUAUAAAAACUGAAUUUGUGUGAAUCAAUUAAGUAUCGAACUCCAAAACCUAUUUAAUAACAGGGGUAAUACAGUAACCGAAAAGGAAAUUAUUCUACAUGCAAAAGCUACUGUAUCGUUUAUUUCUUUUUAAUGUUUUUAAUGUAGAAAUAUAUGAGGUCUUGCAAAUCAAAUAAUUUGAUGUAGGAUAUUCUUAAUUUUCAUAAAAUAGUACUGAACUGCUAUGACUGCGUGGAAACAAAGAAG
Bombus pyrosoma is the source of this 518-nucleotide long non-coding RNA. RefSeq lists it as uncharacterized. The transcript has 4 exons. The record is from RefSeq and is a predicted model, not a curated record. Lineage: Eukaryota; Metazoa; Arthropoda; Insecta; Hymenoptera; Apidae.